This 349-nucleotide ribosomal RNA is filed under the name uncultured bacterium. RNAcentral describes it as "bacterial SSU rRNA". It matches the Rfam family "Bacterial small subunit ribosomal RNA", at positions 917 to 1267 of the family's 1533-position model. The record is from RNAcentral.
GGGCCCGCACAAGCGGUGGAGCAUGUGGUUUAAUUCGAUGAUACGCGAGGAACCUUACCAGGGCUUAAAUGUAAGUUGCAUAGACCAGAGAUGGUCUUUUCUUCGGACUACUUUACAAGGUGCUGCAUGGUUGUCGUCAGCUCGUGCCGUGAGGUGUCAGGUUAAGUCCUAUAACGAGCGCAACCCCUGUCGUUAGUUGCCAGCAAGUUAAGUUGGGCACUCUAGCGAGACUGCCGGUGCAAACCGCGAGGAAGGUGGGGAUGACGUCAAAUCAUCACGGCCCUUACGUCCUGGGCUACACACGUGCUACAAUGGUAUCCACAACAGGAAGCAAGACGGUGACGUUAAG